UAAACGACUCUCGGCAACGGAUAUCUCGGCUCUCGCAUCGAUGAGGAACGUAGCGAAAUGCGAUACUUGGUGUGAAUUGCAGAAUCCCGUGAACCAUCGAGUCUUUGAACGCAAGUUGCGCCCGAAGCCGUUAGGCCGAGGGCACGUCUGCCUGGGCGUCACAC
This 164-nucleotide ribosomal RNA is filed under the name Acaena elongata. RNAcentral describes it as "5.8S ribosomal RNA". It matches the Rfam family "5.8S ribosomal RNA". From Rfam's summary of the family: 5.8S ribosomal RNA (5.8S rRNA) is a component of the large subunit of the eukaryotic ribosome. It is transcribed by RNA polymerase I as part of the 45S precursor that also contains 18S and 28S rRNA. Functionally, it is thought that 5.8S rRNA may be involved in ribosome translocation. Lineage: Eukaryota; Viridiplantae; Streptophyta; Magnoliopsida; Rosales; Rosaceae. The record is from RNAcentral.